AGUGAACGCUGGCGGUAGGCCUAACACAUGCAAGUCGAACGGCAGCACAGUAAGAGCUUGCUCUUACGGGUGGCGAGUGGCGGACGGGUGAGGAAUACAUCGGAAUCUACUUUUUCGUGGGGGAUAACGUAGGGAAACUUACGCUAAUACCGCAUACGACCUACGGGUGAAAGCAGGGGAUCUUCGGACCUUGCGCGAUUGAAUGAGCCGAUGUCGGAUUAGCUAGUUGGCGUGGUAAAGGCCCACCAAGGCGACGAUCCGUAGCUGGUCUGAGAGGAUGGUCAGCCACACUGGAACUGAGACACGGUCCAGACUCCUACGGGAGGCAGCAGUGGGGAAUAUUGGACAAUGGGCGCAAGCCUGAUCCAGCCAUACCGCGUGGGUGAAGAAGGCCUUCGGGUUGUAAAGCCCUUUUGUUGGGAAAGAAAAGCAGCAGGUUAAUACCCCGCUGUUCUGACGGUACCCAAAGAAUAAGCACCGGCUAACUUCGUG
RNAcentral lists this ribosomal RNA (492 nucleotides) under uncultured bacterium. Its description in RNAcentral is "partial 16S ribosomal RNA". It matches the Rfam family "Bacterial small subunit ribosomal RNA", at positions 29 to 507 of the family's 1533-position model. The record is from RNAcentral.